This 84-nucleotide ribosomal RNA is filed under the name Mus pahari (shrew mouse). RNAcentral describes it as "rRNA (MGP_PahariEiJ_G0032676.1)". Lineage: Eukaryota; Metazoa; Chordata; Mammalia; Rodentia; Muridae. The record is from RNAcentral.
GUCUCAGAAACUGAGCAGGGUCGGGCCUGGUUAGUAUUCAGAUGGGAGAUUACCUGGGAAUACUGGGUCAGUAGGCAUUAAAAA